Molecule: ribosomal RNA, 619 nt
Filed under: uncultured bacterium
Lineage: Bacteria
Description: bacterial SSU rRNA
Rfam family: Bacterial small subunit ribosomal RNA
Source: RNAcentral
AGAGUUUGAUCCUGGCUCAGAGUGAACGCUGGCGGCAGGCCUAACACAUGCAAGUCGAGCGGCAGCGCGUCCGACCACCCUCGGGUGGUCGGAUGGCGGCGAGCGGCGGACGGGUGAGGAAUGCAUCGGAAUCUGCCUCGUUGUGGGGGAUAACGUAGGGAAACUUACGCUAAUACCGCAUACGACCUACGGGUGAAAGUGGGGGACCUUCGGGCCUCACGCGAUGAGAUGAGCCGAUGCCGGAUUAGCUAGUUGGCGGGGUAAAGGCCCACCAAGGCGACGAUCCGUAGCUGGUCUGAGAGGAUGAUCAGCCACACUGGAACUGAGACACGGUCCAGACUCCUACGGGAGGCAGCAGUGGGGAAUAUUGGACAAUGGGGGCAACCCUGAUCCAGCCAUGCCGCGUGUGUGAAGAAGGCCUUCGGGUUGUAAAGCACUUUUGUUGGGGAAGAAACCGGCCGGGUUAAUACCCUGGUUGAAUGACGGUACCCAAAGAAUAAGCACCGGCUAACUUCGUGCCAGCAGCCGCGGUAAUACGAAGGGUGCAAGCGUUACUCGGAAUUACUGGGCGUAAAGCGUGCGUAGGCGGUUUGUUAAGUCUGCUGUGAAAGCCCUGGGC